GACGGAGGAGGCAAGCGUUAUCCGGAAUUAUUGGGCGUAAAGGGUACUUAGGCGGCUGGUCAAGUCUGGGGUCAAAGGCCACAGCUCAACUGUGGGAAGGCCCUGGAAACUGACCGGCUAGAGUGAGGUAGGGGUUGCGGGAAUUCCCGGUGUAGCGGUGAAAUGCGUAGAGAUCGGGAAGAACACCUGAGGCGGAAGCGCGCAACUGGGCCUCAACUGACUUUGAGGUACGAAAGCUAGGGGAGCGAAUGGG
This 253-nucleotide ribosomal RNA is filed under the name uncultured bacterium. RNAcentral describes it as "partial 16S ribosomal RNA". It matches the Rfam family "Bacterial small subunit ribosomal RNA", at positions 524 to 776 of the family's 1533-position model. The record is from RNAcentral.